UCUUCAUCCGUUCUCUCUCAACUUCUUUCUCUUCCAUACCAACUACUACUAAACUACAAGACCAGAGCCAUGACUGCUAAACAAAUCCCUAGGCAAGACCCACAAAAUAUGAAACAGAGUAUUUCAAUUCCAGUCGCUCUCUGCUCCAACAAUGGUGUUAACUAGGCCAUCAAAAAGGUCGAUUUGGAUUACAAGAAGUCAUUAAGAUUCUAAGUUUCAUUGAGGAUGUUGGAUUGCAUAUUCACCAGCUCAUGUUUGGUUCAAAAUUUCAUAUUAAUAUUCACACACUUACAAAGAAAACCAGGCCCUAAAAGAAUGCCCACAAUGAGGUUUUUGAAUAUCAAAUUAUGUUGCUAUCUAACAACAAUUGAAAACCAAAACAUGAGAUAAUUAUUGUUGCAAUUUUGCGAUAUUGUA
Molecule: long non-coding RNA, 417 nt
Organism: Quercus robur (English oak)
Lineage: Eukaryota; Viridiplantae; Streptophyta; Magnoliopsida; Fagales; Fagaceae
Exons: 2
Source: RefSeq, a predicted model, not a curated record